GAUUAACGCUGGCGGCGUGCAUAACACAUGCAAGUCGAACGAUGAAACUUUACUGACUUCUUCGGAAUGAUUUAAAGCGGAUUAGUGGCGAACGGGUGAGUAACGCGUGAGUAACCUGCCUUACACAAGGGGAUAGCCUCUGGAAACGGAGAAUAAUACCCUAUGAAGCCAGACAAUCGCAUGAUAAUCUGGUCAAAAUGUUUAGUGGUGUAAGAUGGACUUGCGUCUGAUUAGCUAGUUGGUGAGAUAAAAGCUCACCAAGGCAACGAUCAGUAGCCGGCUUGGGAGAGUGUACGGCCACAUUGGGACUGAGACACGGCCCAGACUCCUACGGGAGGCAGCAGUGGGGAAUUUUGCACAAUGGGGGAAACCCUGAUGCAGCGACGCCGCGUGAUUUAGAAGGCCUUCGGGUUGUAAAAAUCUUUUGUACAGGAAGAAAAUGACAGUACUAUACGAAUAAGGUCCGGCUAAUUACGUG
RNAcentral lists this ribosomal RNA (478 nucleotides) under uncultured bacterium. Its description in RNAcentral is "partial 16S ribosomal RNA". It matches the Rfam family "Bacterial small subunit ribosomal RNA", at positions 28 to 507 of the family's 1533-position model. The record is from RNAcentral.